GUUCUAUCAAGAGUAGCCUUAAGCCUCAAUCCCCAAAUUUUUUGGCCAUCUUCACUUCCUUCCCUUUCAGCGAGACCUCUCUCCUUCCAAGCACCAAUCUCAUUUACAAUAGCCACACAUUCUUCUGGCUUCCAACCAGAUAAACCCAGCUGAUGAACACCAAAAAUAAGGGCAUCCAGUGGAUCAUUCCAAGAGCUUACAUUCUUCGACUUCACAUUUUCUGC
Molecule: unclassified non-coding RNA, 224 nt
Filed under: Hevea brasiliensis (rubber tree)
Lineage: Eukaryota; Viridiplantae; Streptophyta; Magnoliopsida; Malpighiales; Euphorbiaceae
Source: RNAcentral